RNAcentral lists this transfer RNA (73 nucleotides) under Blautia wexlerae. Its description in RNAcentral is "tRNA-Arg". It matches the Rfam family "tRNA". From Rfam's summary of the family: Transfer RNA (tRNA) molecules are approximately 80 nucleotides in length. Lineage: Bacteria; Bacillati; Bacillota; Clostridia; Lachnospirales; Lachnospiraceae. RNAcentral also lists the same sequence under 3 other names. The record is from RNAcentral.
ACUCCCGUAGCUCAGUGGACAGAGCACACGGCUACGAACCGUGGUGUCAGGAGUUCGAAUCUCUUCGGGAGUG